Oryzias melastigma (Indian medaka) is the source of this 767-nucleotide long non-coding RNA. RefSeq lists it as uncharacterized. The record is from RefSeq and is a predicted model, not a curated record. NCBI's taxonomy places the organism in Eukaryota, Metazoa, Chordata, Actinopteri, Beloniformes, Adrianichthyidae. The transcript has 3 exons.
CCAAAAUCUGAAGAAAAGAUUUUAACAAAAAUGACAAAGAAUAAAUAUAUUAUGUAAUAAUAUGUUUAAAUGCUGGGAUGAAAUGUAAAAGAAUAGUAUAUAUACUUGGAAAAAAAAUCAAGAAUUUAUCAAAUACAUUAACCCUAUUUACAAAAGCAAGAAAAUAUUGCAAUAUUGCAAAAAUUAAUAAUUGUAUUUAGGUGUGUCAAAAUAUCACGUUAAUAGCAAUUAAUAAUUACAGUGCUUUAUUUUAUUUUUAGUGCACUAAUUUCAUUUUUGCAUCGGUUGCUUCUAUGAAGUUUGUUCAUGUCUGAUAAUUCACAGAUCAUAGGGCAUUAUCCAGCUUAUGCCACGGUCAUUUACCAAAAAAAAUAAAUAAAUAAAUUCAAUCAAUUAUUAGAACUUCAAACGCUUAAAGAUAUAACUGUAUUUAAGUUCUAAUACAACAUAUCUGAUUGUAUCAGAAAUUCAAUAUGGAUAUAUUUUCUGCUUAAAUAAUUAUAUUUACAAAAAGCGGAGUACAUAAAACACGGUGUGUCAUGUUGUCAUGGUAACGGCUGUAGUCCCCGUAGAGACCUCAUUCUGCUAUCGCUCUUUCCUCUCUGAGGCAAAUGGUCAUUUUAAGAAGUUAAACAAACCAUCAUUUCAGAGUGUUCAAAAUGAUCAAAUUCAUCAAACGGGUUGAAGAGGAAUCUGCUGACACUCAUCCUUCCUAAAUGGACCGACUCCUAAUUCUCUAAUAAAACGACCUUUUAUUUCUAUCGUCA